RNAcentral lists this ribosomal RNA (429 nucleotides) under Chloroflexota bacterium. RNAcentral's name for it is "Chloroflexi bacterium partial 16S ribosomal RNA". It matches the Rfam family "Bacterial small subunit ribosomal RNA", at positions 355 to 776 of the family's 1533-position model. Lineage: Bacteria; Bacillati; Chloroflexota. The record is from RNAcentral.
UGGGGAAUAUUGCACAAUGGGCGCAAGCCUGAUGCAGCCAUGCCGCGUGUAUGAAGAAGGCCUUCGGGUUGUAAAGUACUUUCAGCGGGGAGGAAGGGAGUAAAGUUAAUACCUUUGCUCAUUGACGUUACCCGCAGAAGAAGCACCGUCUAACUCCGUGCCAGCAGCCGCGGUAAUACGGAGGGUGCAAGCGUUAAUCGGAAUUACUGGGCGUAAAGCGCACGCAGGCGGUUUGUUAAGUCAGAUGUGAAAUCCCCGGGCUCAACCUGGGAACUGCAUCUGAUACUGGCAAGCUUGAGUCUCGUAGAGGGGAGUAGAAUUCCAGGUGUAGCGGUGAAAUGCGUAGAGAUCUGGAGGAAUACCGGUGGCGAAGGCGGCCCCCUGGACGAAGACUGACGCUCAGGUGCGAAAGCGUGGGGAGCAAACAGG